UACAGAGGUGGCAAGCGUUGUCCGGAAUUACUGGGCGUAAAGGGCGCGUAGGCGGUCUUGUAAGUCUUGUGUGAAAUCCCUCGGCUUAACUGAGGAACUGCACGGGAUACUGCGAGACUUGAGUUCGGGAGAGGGAAGCGGAAUUCCGGGUGUAGCGGUGAAAUGCGUAGAUAUCCGGAGGAACACCGGUGGCGAAGGCGGCUUCCUGGACCGAUUACUGACGCUGAGGCGCGAAAGCUAGGGGAGCAAACGGG
Molecule: ribosomal RNA, 254 nt
Filed under: uncultured bacterium
Lineage: Bacteria
Description: partial 16S ribosomal RNA
Rfam family: Bacterial small subunit ribosomal RNA
Source: RNAcentral